GCCGGAAUAGCUCAGUCGGUAGAGCAGCGCAUUCGUAAUGCGAAGGUCGGGGGUUCAAAUCCUCUUUCCGGCU
This 73-nucleotide transfer RNA is filed under the name Candidatus Glomeribacter gigasporarum BEG34. It matches the Rfam family "tRNA". From Rfam's summary of the family: Transfer RNA (tRNA) molecules are approximately 80 nucleotides in length. Their secondary structure includes four short double-helical elements and three loops (D, anti-codon, and T loops). Lineage: Bacteria; Pseudomonadati; Pseudomonadota; Betaproteobacteria; Burkholderiales; Burkholderiaceae. The record is from Rfam by way of RNAcentral.